AUAGAGACUCAGAGCUGCAUAUCAAUAAGCGGAGGAAAAGAAACUAACAAGGAUUCCCUUAGUAACGGCGAGUGAAGCGGGAAGAGCUCAAAUUUGAAAUCUUCAAGGUUCUACCUUGACGAAUUGUAGUUUAUAGAAGUGUUUUCUGUUAGUAGAGUUCGGUAAAAGUUCUUUGGAAUAGGACAUCAUAGAGGGUGAGAAUCCCGUAUUUGACCGUUAUUUCUCUAGCUUUGUGAUACACUUUCAAAGAGUCGGAUUGUUUGGGAAUGCAGUCCAAAAUGGGUGGUAAAUUUCAUCUAAAGCUAAAUAUUGGCGAGAGACCGAUAGCGAACAAGUACCGUGAGGGAAAGAUGAAAAGAACUUUGAAAAGAGAGUUAAACAGUACGUGAAAUUGUCAAAAGGGAAGCGUUUGACACCAGUGUUGUUUUUCCGAAAAUCAAUUAAGAAUGUUUUAGUUUUUGAGGAGUUAUGACUUCAUCGGCUUGCUCCUUUCUUUAUGAAACUUUCUUAAUGCACUUUUCGGUUAACAAGUCAACAUCAAUUUCUUUUGUUGUAAAAGAGUAUGAGGAAGGUGGCUUUCUUUUCGGAGAAAGUGUUUAUAGCCUUGUACUUCUGCAAUCGGAGAGAUUGGGGUCUGCAGCGUAGAUCCUUCGGGGUUAGAUACAUUUGUGCUAAGUUAUAGCUUUUCAUAGACAACUUGUUGAUUAUGUUAAGUCUUGUAGCCUACUCGCUUAUGCUAUUUUACCUACGCUUAGGAUGUUGAUAGUCACAGCGUGUAC
This 779-nucleotide ribosomal RNA is filed under the name uncultured Neocallimastigales. RNAcentral describes it as "partial large subunit ribosomal RNA". It matches the Rfam family "Eukaryotic large subunit ribosomal RNA", at positions 23 to 644 of the family's 3401-position model. Lineage: Eukaryota; Fungi; Neocallimastigomycota; Neocallimastigomycetes; Neocallimastigales. The record is from RNAcentral.